RNAcentral lists this ribosomal RNA (254 nucleotides) under uncultured bacterium. RNAcentral's name for it is "partial 16S ribosomal RNA". It matches the Rfam family "Bacterial small subunit ribosomal RNA", at positions 524 to 776 of the family's 1533-position model. The record is from RNAcentral.
UACGUAGGGUGCGAGCGUUGUCCGGAAUUAUUGGGCGUAAAGAGCUCGUAGGCGGUCUGUCGCGUCGAUCGUGAAAACUUGGGGCUUAACCCUGAGCUUGCGGUCGAUACGGGCAUGACUGGAGUUCGGCAGGGGAGACUGGAAUUCCUGGUGUAGCGGUGAAAUGCGCAGAUAUCAGGAGGAACACCGGUGGCGAAGGCGGGUCUCUGGGCCGACACUGACGCUGAUGCGCGAAAGCCAGGGGAGCGAACGGG